RNAcentral lists this ribosomal RNA (404 nucleotides) under Actinomycetes bacterium. RNAcentral's name for it is "Actinobacteria bacterium partial 16S ribosomal RNA". It matches the Rfam family "Bacterial small subunit ribosomal RNA", at positions 355 to 776 of the family's 1533-position model. The record is from RNAcentral. Lineage: Bacteria; Bacillati; Actinomycetota; Actinomycetes.
UGGGGAAUAUUGGACAAUGGGCGCAAGCCUGAUCCAGCCAUGCCGCGUGAGUGAUGAAGGCCCUAGGGUUGUAAAGCUCUUUCACCGGUGAAGAUAAUGACGGUAACCGGAGAAGAAGCCCCGGCUAACUUCGUGCCAGCAGCCGCGGUAAUACGAAGGGGGCUAGCGUUGUUCGGAUUUACUGGGCGUAAAGCGCACGUAGGCGGACUUUUAAGUCAGGGGUGAAAUCCCGGGGCUCAACCCCGGAACUGCCUUUGAUACUGGAAGUCUUGAGUAUGGUAGAGGUGAGUGGAAUUCCGAGUGUAGAGGUGAAAUGCGUAGAUAUUCGGAGGAACACCAGUGGCGAAGGCGGCUCACUGGACCAUUACUGACGCUGAGGUGCGAAAGCGGGGGGAGAAAACAGG